RNAcentral lists this ribosomal RNA (498 nucleotides) under uncultured bacterium. RNAcentral describes it as "bacterial SSU rRNA". It matches the Rfam family "Bacterial small subunit ribosomal RNA", at positions 501 to 1000 of the family's 1533-position model. The record is from RNAcentral.
CUACGUGCCAGCAGCCGCGGUAAUACGGAGGGUGCGAGCGUUAACCGGAAUAACUGGGCGUAAAGGGCACGCAGGCGGUGACUUAAGUGAGGUGUGAAAGCCCCGGGCUUAACCUGGGAAUUGCAUUUCAUACUGGGUCGCUAGAGUACUUUAGGGAGGGGUAGAAUUCCACGUGUAGCGGUGAAAUGCGUAGAGAUGUGGAGGAAUACCGAAGGCGAAGGCAGCCCCUUGGGAAUGUACUGACGCUCAUGUGCGAAAGCGUGGGGAGCAAACAGGAUUAGAUACCCUGGUAGUCCUAGCUGUAAACGAUGAUUACUGGGUGUGGGCAUGAAGAGUGUCCGUGCCGAAGCUAAUGCGAUAAGUAAUCCGCCUGGGGAGUACGGCCGCAAGGCUGAAACUCAAAUGAAUUGACGGGGGCCCGCACAAGCGGUGGAGCAUGUGGUUUAAUUCGAUGCAACGCGAAGAACCUUACCUACUCUUGACAUCCAGAGAACAUUC